This 20-nucleotide transfer RNA is filed under the name Spiranthes himalayensis. RNAcentral's name for it is "partial tRNA-Gly". Lineage: Eukaryota; Viridiplantae; Streptophyta; Magnoliopsida; Asparagales; Orchidaceae. The record is from RNAcentral.
GCGGAUAUGGUCAAAUGGUA